Molecule: ribosomal RNA, 795 nt
Filed under: Bacillus licheniformis
Lineage: Bacteria; Bacillati; Bacillota; Bacilli; Caryophanales; Bacillaceae
Description: bacterial SSU rRNA
Rfam family: Bacterial small subunit ribosomal RNA
Source: RNAcentral
GCCGACCUGAGAGGGUGAUCGGCACACUGGGACUGAGACACGCCCAGACUCCUACGGGAGGCAGCAGUAGGGAAUCUCCGCAAUGGACGAAAGUCUGACGGAGCAACGCCGCGUGAGUGAUGAAGGUUUUCGGAUCGUAAAACUCUGUUGUUAGGGAAGAACAAGUACCGUUCGAAUAGGGCGGCACCUUGACGGUACCUAACCAGAAAGCCACGGCUAACUACGUGCCAGCAGCCGCGGUAAUACGUAGGUGGCAAGCGUUGUCCGGAAUUAUUGGGCGUAAAGCGCGCGCAGGCGGUUUCUUAAGUCUGAUGUGAAAGCCCCCGGCUCAACCGGGGAGGGUCAUUGGAAACUGGGGAACUUGAGUGCAGAAGAGGAGAGUGGAAUUCCACGUGUAGCGGUGAAAUGCGUAGAGAUGUGGAGGAACACCAGUGGCGAAGGCGACUCUCUGGUCUGUAACUGACGCUGAGGCGCGAAAGCGUGGGGAGCGAACAGGAUUAGAUACCCUGGUAGUCCACGCCGUAAACGAUGAGUGCUAAGUGUUAGAGGGUUUCCGCCCUUUAGUGCUGCAGCAAACGCAUUAAGCACUCCGCCUGGGGAGUACGGUCGCAAGACUGAAACUCAAAGGAAUUGACGGGGGCCCGCACAAGCGGUGGAGCAUGUGGUUUAAUUCGAAGCAACGCGAAGAACCUUACCAGGUCUUGACAUCCUCUGACAACCCUAGAGAUAGGGCUUCCCCUUCGGGGGCAGAGUGACAGGUGGUGCAUGGUGUCGUCAGCUCGUGUCCGAGUUGUC